This is a long non-coding RNA of Hemicordylus capensis (graceful crag lizard), 7264 nucleotides long. RefSeq lists it as uncharacterized. The transcript has 2 exons. NCBI's taxonomy places the organism in Eukaryota, Metazoa, Chordata, Lepidosauria, Squamata, Cordylidae. The record is from RefSeq and is a predicted model, not a curated record.
GAAAGUGGCAGGAGGGGUAAGUGCACCCUCCCCGGCUCUUAAAGUUAGACACUGCCGGUUCCGAGGCCCAUAAAGGGUCUCUGAACUGGUUCCGUGCACAUCCCUACUGCAUGGUGCCCCUUACACCAUGUGGAGGUGACCAUUCUCACCAUACAGUGCUGCACUUUGCCCAGAGCUGGUGAGGCUCCUUUAAGGGAAAUGGAACCCUCUUGAGCCCCUGCACUAUCUUCGAAGGUGUGCACAGGAUGCUGGAAAGUGUAACCUCCAUUCUUUCCUCCUAUAGUGCUUUAGAGAGGGAGCUGUCUCUCUCAAAGGCCCUCCCAGCAUUAAGAGAAGCACAGCACUGGGUCAGCACAGUGGGAAAUGGCUCUCACAUAGAAGGUUUUUUGCCCCAGUGGACCCUGCUUGAAAAAUAGUGAAGAUUAAAACAAAAAGGGUUUCUUGAAAGCGAUGUGUAUGUGUGGAGAGAGGAGCUUUAGAGCAUGAGCGUGGUCCUUAUGAUUAAUGCAUUGGAAAUUAAUAAUUUUAUUUAUCUGAAUAUUUUUAAAACUGCUUUUUGUCAGCUGAACACAAGGCUGUGUUUAGCAUUAAACACAAUAUACAAACAACAGUUUAAAGCAAUAAAAAUAAUAAGGCUCACAGUCCAGCAAGAAUUCCAUUUUGGGACUUUUUAGAAAUAAACCAUUAUUUAUUUAUUGAAACUUCUUAUAUACCACCUCCACCAAAGACUCUAGGUGGUGAACAACAGAAAUACCAACAAUAACCAAUUUUUAAAAAAUGAUUAAAGGGCAAACAGCUGGUGAAACAGGUGGAUCUUAAGAAAGGCCUUAAAAGCAGUCAGGGAGGGGGCUGAAUGAAUGGGUGUGUGUGAAGAGUGUUCCAAAGAAGAGGGGCAGCCACAGAGAAGGCCCUCCUAUGGGCCCAGGCACCACGCACUACACCUGGACCCGGGACACUAAGGAGGGCCAGCUGAGAAGACCUCACAGGCCAGGAUAGAGCUGGCCGAGAUAGGCGAUCCCAGAGAUAUACAGGUGCUAAGCCCAUAAGGGUUUUGUAGGUGAGAACCAGCACCUUGAAUUGGACCUGGAAGCGAACAGGCAACCAGUGCAGUGACCUAAAAGAGGUGUGAGACUAUCAAAAAUACAGCCACCAUGAGGAGGUGGGCUGCUGCAUUCUGGACUAGUUGAAGCUUCCGACUCAUUUUCAAAGGCAACUCUAGGUAGAGCGCAUUACAGUAAUCCAAACAAGAGGUAACAGAGUUACUGUUGCCAGAGCCUACCAGUCAAGGAAAGGCCAUAAUUGGCGAACCAGCUGAAGACUGGGAAAGGCACCCCUGGCCACGGCCUCCACUUGCUGUUCAAGCGGGAGCCGUGAGUCCAGGAGGACCCCCAGAUCACGAACCGUCUCUCUCAAGGGAAGCGCAGCCCUGUCAAGAGAUAAACUCACACACGCGGCAACUGGCCAGAUCGCAAACUGAACAAGAGCUACUCAGUCUUGGAGGGAUUGAGCCUGAGCUUGGGACCAGGCCCAUCCAGGUCCUGACAGCCUCUAGGCACUGAGCCAGCACAUGAACAGCAUCACCUGUUGGGCCAAGGGUAGAGAUAUAAAGCUGAGUAUCAUCAGCAUAUUUAUGAAAAUUUACCCCAAACUGACAGAUGACCAAACCCAGCAGCUUCAUAUCGAUGUUAAAGAGAAUGGGAGCAAGGACCGAGCCCUGUGGAACCCCACAAGAAAGGGGCCAGGGCACAGAACAAUCACCCCCAAUCGACACCAACUGGAAUCGCCCAGUGAGGCUGGGAAAGGAGUGAGAGAGACUGCAGUUCUUCAAACUCAAUCAAUUUGACAAGAGAAAACGCAAACUCGCAUGAGUGCCAAUGAGCUUUUCUUCUGGGAUGAAUAUUAGCUGAGCGGGAUAGACCUGAUCCAGAUUGGGGCCAUGGGGAAUGAAGGGAUGAAGCCUCCCCACGCCACUGAAGACUGCAGGGACGUACUCCAGAUCUCACACGCACAUUGCUGUUUUACAUCAGAAAUGUCAAUCAGACAGUCAGUCUUUAUUACGGUCUCUGACCAGUACACCUAAAGCAAUAUAUGCACAUUGAUACACAGCACAGCAUGCUGAUUACAUACCAAUACAUUAAUUCUACCAUUGAUUCUACAUUGAGUGAGGAGAGCUGGUCUUAUGGUAGCAAGCAUGAUUUGUCCCAUUAGCUAAGCAGGGUCCACCCUGGUUACAUUUGAAUGGGAGACUUGAUGUGUGAGCACUGUAAGAUAUUCCCCUUAGGGGAUGGAGCCGCCACUCUGGGAAGAGCAGAAGGUCUCAAGUUCCCUCCCUGGCUUCUCCAAGAUAGGGCUGAGAGAGAUUCCUGCCUGCAACCUUGGAGAAGCCAGUGCCAGUUUGUGAAGACAAUACUGAGCUAGAAAGACCAAUGGUCUGACUCAGUAUAUGGCAGCUUCCUAUGUUCCCCAUUAGCAAGCAGAGUAUGUUGCACUCGUAUUGCAGAACAACAGAAUUUCUGAACAGAAUAUGUAAUUGAUGAAUUAAUGUCUGUUAACAAAUAUUUGACAUAAAAAUCCAUCCAGUCGUCCCAGGAAUUUUUUAGAACGGGAUCCAUUAACCUUCGCCUAAUGUCUGAGUAAAAGGCACACCACAAGAGCACAUGUGCAGCCAACUCGAUCUCAUUGAGUUACAGAGGCAGUAUCUCGAUCAAUUGUAUUUCUAUACUGCCUGAUAUAAAAACCUCCAGGUGGUGUACAAGUCAAAACAUAAUAUAAUAUAAAACAGUUAAAAACUUUGUAAUACAGAUAAAAACAGUCUCAGUAGGAAAAAACAUAUUGAAAUUUCAAUGUCAAUUAAAAGCCUGGGAGAACAGGUACAUCUUGAGGUUCUUUGUCUGUGCACUGGGAUGUAACUCAAAUGGUGCAAGGCGGUCUGGUCCAGGAGUUUCAAUGCUACCUCUGCUAACUUGGCAAAGAGGCACCUUUUAAUGUGGCAAUUCUCUUUAUUUAGCAGGGGGAGAGUAACUGGCCCUAUCCACCCCCAGCACAGGACCUCCAGUGACUGUUGCUGGUGUCUGUCUUAUGUUUCUUUUCAGAUUGUGAGCCCUUUGGGGACAGGGAUCCAUUUUAUUUAUUUGUUAUUUCUCUGUGUUAAGCGUCCUAAGCCAUUUUUGGAAGGGCAGUAUAGAAACUGAAUAAAUAAAUAAAUAAAUAAAGCAAGCUGCCUUUUCCUCUGGCCACUUCAGCACCAAGGAAUCUAACAGGUGUCUUGGUUGGCUGUUAACCGAUUCAGCUUCCCCUGGCAAGGCCUUGCCGCCAUUGCAGUGAGUGGGGCUCUUUUGCAAAAGCUGGAGCCUGCCUUUGCUGCCGGCACCAUCCUCGCAGCUCCUGCACCAGGUUUUCCUUUGGAGUUACAUGUCUUCCACCAGCACCAGAUAAACGGCGUUGCUGCCGGCAGGGGCGGUGGAGGAGGGCGGCUUGCAGAUGGAGACCACCUCACAAUACAAGGCGGCUAUCUGGGUGCUGCUGUCGGGGCAGCAGCAGGAUCCCGCUGACAUCAAGCCAGGCGGAGGGGAGCAGAUCCUGCCGCUGCCGGCGGAGGCUGAACAUUUGAAAAGAUGUGGCUUGAGAUCCACGGUCGGGGCUUGAAAGGCGUGUGUGUGCAUCAAGCACCCUUUCCCAGCCGGGGGUGGGAAAAGCCAUGCAGGGCGAAGCCCCUUCGCUGCCUCCGAGACUUUCCCUCCAGCAAGCAGCUCCCUCUGGACCACACCCCACUUCCCUGCCACCUCCCCGCGGUGGCAACAGCAGCGGCACUUCAUUCCCCCACCCCUCUCCCAGCUAAUAAUUCAGGAGUGCGGACAUUCAUCUGAGCCCUUGAAAAAGCCCAUCUAUGUUUAGGGAAAGUAAGAAAGAAUAUAUAAUCUGCUCGGCGAGUCCUCGCCCAGUCAUAGGCCCCGAACAUGCAAUAGACAUAUUGCCUAUUUCAGCCCUCAGUCAGGGACCCCGGUGCUUGAAGUGGGAACCUGAACUCUAUGUCUGGGGACUUACCCACACUGAGGGUUUGCAGGCCUCAGAGGCCUCUUGAGCACAAGAUGUGUAAAAUCUCUUCCCUUGAAAUUGACAGGGCGUAAGAAGCUUCAGGAUUGUCUUGGCCUGGUGUCUAUUCAGGGUGGCUGGCUUUUUCUUCUUCAUUGCCUUCAUAAUGUGGUACUUUCUACAUAAGGACGGGCCUCUUAUGAAGCACAGUGAGGUAUUUGCCCCAGGUCGGCUGGUUUUGGGGGGAGGCACUGCUGCCCCACCCCUGCAGGUGCCACCCAACCUGCCCUUUAACAUCUUCCGGAGUUUAUCUGACACCUUCCGGCUUUGAAAGUGGCAGGGGGUGAGAAGACAGGGCUCCCAUCAGCCUUCCCUCCCUGCUGGCCAGGCAGGGGCGGUCCUUUCAUGAGGCAGGAGGAGGCGGUUGCCUUAAGCAGCAGAUUAUUGGGGUGCCAGCAGGGCAGCAAGAUGCCCACCACCGCAACCAUCAAAACAGCUCUUUGGGACUGAACGGAUUCUUGCAAGCUUUGUAAGGAUCAUCUCUCCUCUUGCAAGAGGCAUGAGGGGAGAAAAGGAGGCAGCUGGUUACCUUCCUCAUCUCCGCCCCCCACCCCCACCAUUUUCAAAGCUUGAGAAAUUGCUGUUGGAAGGGUACUGGCUCCCAUCAGGGUUGUGGUGCAAGGCAGCCUCUCAGGCACCUUGAGCUACCCCUGCCCCCAUGGUGAGAUGGCAUUUAGCACCUUACCCUUAGGGCCUUUUCACGUUAGAGAUAUACUGCAAGCAAGGACGUUGCUAGGGGAGAGGGGGCCCAUGUUCACUCUUCUCCCCAGCAGCCCCUCGGAAUGAGGAAGACAAUGAAGAAAAUAGGGAAGGAUGGAGCUGGGGGACCCUCAGGAGCUUGGGUGCCAAGGUUCUUUGAACCUAUCCACUCAAUUAUAACUACGCCCAACUGCAAGGCUUUGUUGCAGGUCCAUACUUGUAUCCACAUAAUUUUGAAACUGAAUGCACAGUGAUAGACAUCUGUUCCAAGGCAUAAUUUUGCCUUCACAUACCAAAAAGACCACUCCCUCCAUAAUAUAUUUUAAAAUGUAUUCUGGACAGAUCUCCUGAAAAUAUGCAUAAUUCAUACACAUUAUAAGUGAGUGUUAACCCCACUGAAGAAGCACCCUCCAACAGAGGGGUCAGAAAGAAGGCAUGCCCUGUUUUAUUGCUGCUUCCCUCACAAAGUAAUCUUAUAUAGAUUUAACUAAAAGUUUAUUCAGAAACAACUAUAUUUUCUCCUUCUCCUUCCCUUCCCUUUUCCUUUCUGACUACCCCCCCUCCCCGCCCCAGUCUCUACAGGAUCCCCACUGGGACAAACUUCUAAACAACAAAACAUAAAAGAUUACUAGAUAGAAUACAAUACAACAUGCCCUCACUGCCAAGUCUGCACAUCUCUGGCUUUCUGGAUAAGCCUGCUAAUUGAAUUUCCCACGGUGUUGGCUGAGGUUAUUCUAGUGCUGCUGACAUCUGUCCCCAUGGACUGAAAGCACUAACUCAUUUCACAUUGGCUAGUUAACAGCUGUCAGAUGGUCACAGCAUUCAAUCACUGCCAGGUUAGCCUGGAUUUGAACCAGCAGCUUCAGAAUGAAAGACUCAUGUGUCAUCAUUACACUGGUCCUCCGAGAUACGCAGUUCCCCCUCUGGCAGCAGAUGUCUGGUGUGUUAAUUUCAAAAGAUGUAAGCAAAUGUCUAAAAAUACAUUAGCCAGAUUUAUGGUGUUUAAACAAAUUUAGCCCUGAAUAUCUUGCACACGUUUAAAUGGAAUUUGCUUACAGUAAUGCGUUUUGGUUCACCUGGAAAGGAGUUUCAUUUAAAUCAAGAUGGAUUUGCGAGUAAAUCUAGUGUCAUCGGUGGUGGGUUAACGGAGAGGCAGAGUAGGCAUUUGCCUUUGGCGGCAAAAUUUGAGGAGCAGCAAAUUUUGCCUCCCCUCUCUGUGGGCAGCGGUGACUGCAGCAAGGGUGGAGUGGGUGAGGAGAAAGUCCCUCCUUUUCCUUAUUAAAAAAAGGCAAACCUUUUUUGUUUAAGGUAAAAGGGUGGCAAAAGCCUUUUUGCUUAUGGGCAGCAAAAAGCUUAAUCCGCCCCUGAGUGUCAUGCUGUGGAUAGAGACUGGAGAACUGGAGCUGAAUCCUAUCUUUGUCACAAAGGCCAUUGUGGCCUGGGAUCAGGCUAGAAUUGUGGGCAGCCAGACCCAAAUUCAGGCUUAACAGGAUACAUUCUACAAGAAUCCUGAGGUCAGUUGGGACUGGAAGCUGGCAGGGUUGAGGAAGCUACCUUCCUUAACCCUGCCAGGGAGAGGAGAUCUGGUCUUGUGGUAGCAAGCAUGACUUGUCCCCUUAGCUAAGCAGGGUCCACCCUUGUUGCACAUGAAUGGGAGCACUGUAAGAUAUUCUCCUUAGGGGAUGGAGCUGCUCUGGGAAGGUUUCAAGUUCCCUCUCUGGCUUCUCCAAGAUUGGGCUGGCUCACUAUAUGGCACUAUAUGUCUUAGUAUAUGGUAGCUUCCUAUGUUUCUUAUGUUCCUAUGUUCUAAUGUUCUGUGUUCUAGCUUUCCUAAGCUAGAAGGCAUAACUUAAAAUGCAAAAGCGUGAACAUCCACAGGACUUUUUCCAGAGGCGGUGGGGUGGGGGGAUAUAUGCACAACAGGUCAUAUCUGAUGUUAAUUCAACACAGUUAUUGGAUUAAUAUUGGAUAUAACCUGUUGUGAGUAUAUAUGUAGCAUGGUGAUAUUGGCUCAACCCAGGGAGCAAAGCUUCUUACUACCUGCCAAUCACAGGGGCCAUUUGUUAUUCUUCUGCAACACAUAUUGGUAUUCUCUCCUGCUGCAGAAGAAGGUUUUGAAUCUAUACGUCUGGUGGCAACUCAGAGGCGGGCCUUCUCUGUCUCUGCUCCUGAGCUAUGGAAUGCACUCCUGGCAGAAAUCUGUAAUCUGAGUUCAUUACUGGCCUUCAGGAGAGCCCUUAAGACCUACCUAUUUGGCCUGGCCUUCCAGGGUUUUUAAACUGUUUUUAAACUGUAAAAGUUGGGCCUGGUUUUCCAGGGUUUUAAAAACUGUUUUAAUUGUGGUUUUAUGUUAUUUUUACAUUUUUCGAUUUUAACAGUUAAUUGAUUUUAGUGUUGUUUUAAUGUAAACCUCCCUGAGCCAUUUUUGGAAGGAUGGUAUAGAAAUCAAAUAAAUAAAUAAAUAAAAUGUCAA